UACGUAGGUGGCAAGCGUUGUCCGGAUUUAUUGGGCUUAAAGGGUGCGUAGGCGGUCUAUUAAGUCAGUUGUGAAAUACGGCAGCUCAACUGUCGAGGUGCAAUUGAUACUGAUGGACUUGAGUACUGAUGAGGUAAGCGGAAUGGACGGUGUAGCGGUGAAAUGCGUAGAGAUCGGGAGGAACAUCUGUGGCGAAGGCGGCCACCUGGACCAGCACUGACACUGAGGCACGAAAGCGUGGGGAGCAAACAGG
Molecule: ribosomal RNA, 253 nt
Filed under: uncultured bacterium
Lineage: Bacteria
Description: partial 16S ribosomal RNA
Rfam family: Bacterial small subunit ribosomal RNA
Source: RNAcentral